GUGGGAAAGUCCAUGGAAGUUGAUGCCAGUGAUUUUUGCCCUCAUAAACUCACGUCUUCAUCUCUUUCCAUUAUACAAGACUGUAUCAGUGUGCAAUGUUGGUCAAGAUGUAACAGCAGUUUUGGCUAACAGAUUUGCUUAGAUAAUACUUGACCUUGUGUUACCAAGUUGUAAGGUUAUGGUUCUGUCCUCCCAUCACUAUGGUGAGCUACAAGGCAACUUUAAUCCCAUGAAUGAUACCAGUUGCAUUAUUCAUUCACUCAUCUCACCAGCAUAUACACAUCCACCAGCGUAACCACAGUUACCACAGCCUGCAACACUAGACUCGUUACCUGCAGCUGUGCUGACUGAAUGAAUUGUGAAGAAAAGACUUUGAGUGGCUUAUCCUGUAUUCACAGAAACUUAUUCUACUAGUGACUUAGACUUGGUUAUUGAUUCUUUAAUGAAAGCAUCCCGUUGUAAUCCUUUUAAAAGUAUCCUGCCUUCUGUUGACCAAAGUAAACUGCUUCAGUAUAGAGAAAAAAUUCACAAGGAUAUAUUGUAUAGGUACAUGUGAUUUCAAGUCUGGAAUGCUGCAAAGUUAUUUUCUGUUCCCUUAUCUGCAUUACAAAUAAAAUUUAAAAUGUA
Long non-coding RNA from Macrobrachium nipponense, 627 nucleotides. RefSeq lists it as uncharacterized. Lineage: Eukaryota; Metazoa; Arthropoda; Malacostraca; Decapoda; Palaemonidae. The record is from RefSeq and is a predicted model, not a curated record. The transcript is spliced from 3 exons.